RNAcentral lists this long non-coding RNA (452 nucleotides) under Cyclopterus lumpus (lumpfish). RNAcentral's name for it is "lncRNA (ENSCLMG00005015139.1)". The record is from RNAcentral. Lineage: Eukaryota; Metazoa; Chordata; Actinopteri; Perciformes; Cyclopteridae.
AACAUCGUCACACUCUUAGUGUGUAAGAUCCACAGGGAGAGGAACGGAGAAGAGUGUCUUCUGCUGUAUAGAUAUGGAGGAGGAGACCCCAAUGAGAACACAUGUGACUCCAGGUUCACUCUCAUGACGGAGAACCACACUGUGUUUCUCCACCUGACCAGUUUAACACCAGUGGACAGUGGGAACUACACCUGCCAGUGUUCCCAUGUUGAUGGGAUGGAUGUUCUCAAUCUGAGUAUCACCGUGGAAGAUGUUUCAGAGGGAGACGCCAGGCGGUCAACACACCAGCUGAUUGUAAUCGGGUUGAUCGGGGCCACAAUAGUCAUUUCUAUAACUGCAGUUAUCUUCGGGUUUCUUUACAGAGGAAUACGUCAAAGGUGAGAGAAUACUUGUAAUACUCACAACUAUUUAAUAACUUGACAGCAUUGGGUCGGUUGAAGUAAUGAAGGAAG